Molecule: RNA transcript, 3277 nt
Organism: Anolis sagrei ordinatus
Lineage: Eukaryota; Metazoa; Chordata; Lepidosauria; Squamata; Anolidae
Gene name: neuritin-like
Source: RefSeq, a predicted model, not a curated record
CAUGCAUUGGGUUCUUCUGCUGCAGCUUAGGGAAGAAGUCAACAUUUUGAACUACUGCUUCCAGAACCUCCUAUCCAACAGCAUGGAGAGAUGCCUUUUUUGGACUUUUGCUGCCACAAACUUUGCUGACUGAGGUCGUGAUGGGAGCAAUAGUCCAAAAAAUAACCCUUUCCCUGUCUCUCUGCCUAUGUCCAGAUCAGGAGACUGCUCCCUCUCCACUUUACGCACCUCCUUUCUCCCCCUCCCUUCACUUCCUGCAUGCUGUUAACCUGGCAUUUUCCACGCAAAAAGCACCGUGGCUAGUUCUCCGGGUUAAUCUCCCAUCGAGAGGCGCUUUCCCCCCGAACUCAUUGGCGGGCAAAGAACUGCUGAAUAACUCUUCCCUUGAAAACGGAAGAGCGACAAAGAGUUGGAGGGUUCCAAACUUUGGUGUCCACAAUAAUUUCGCCUUCCUUUGAAGCACCGAGGAAGCGGCAAUCCCAGGAAGGAAAGGCUGAAUUGAGGCAAAGGGACUGUGUCCUGUUUUCCAAGGUGGGGAUGAUGGGUUUGCUGGAGGCAUGCGGCUGAAGGCGGGAUGGAGUCCAUUUCCUGAAGCAGGGAGCAGAAGCAGGAGAAGGAGGAAGAGAAGGAGAAGGCAGCGAUGGGGCAGCGGUUGGGCACCAAGGCGCUGCUCCUCCUCACUUUGGGGUAUCUGCUCAGGUCUCUGACUGCAGAAGCUCAGUGUCAAAAUAUUUACCAGGAAUUCUCAGACUGCAUCUUAAAACUGGGAGAAAAUAUGGCCAGCUAUGAGGAGGAAGAGGAGGAAGGAGAGGAAAAGACCCCGGUGCAAGGACUGCAUGUUGUUUGUGGAUAUUGGGAUGAGUUUCAUACUUGCGCCAUGACUGCCCUUUGGGAGUGUCAGAGGGAGGCAGUAACGAUCUGGGAGAUGUUAAAAAAGGAAUCAACAAAGAUCAAAUUUCAAGGCAGCCUUUUCGACCUCUGCACACCUAGUGACUCCCAGAAUCUCAGCUCAGUACAGAUUCCAACUCCAUCAAUAUUAAGCAUCACUCUUAUGGUCACGUGGCUUAACUUAUAAAACGAGCAGUUCUGCAACUGUGUACGGAUGUACAUGUUUUUCUCCUUCUGAAUCUUGGCUCCAUGAAGGUUCCACCUAUGUUAUUUUUAAGCAUCACUCUUAUGGUCACUUUGGUUAAAAGGAGCACCUCUGCAAUUGUAUUCAGAUGUACAUAGUUUUGUUUCUAAGUUUCCUUCUAAAUACUGUUAAAGUUGUUUGUUUAGUGAAUGGACACAUUUCCUAAUCUUUAGUUUGUCCAGUUAUCUGGGUUAUAAAUAGGAAGUGCGGUAGGCUCAGUUCAAUCUUGGCCACUUUAAGAUGUUAAAUUGAAGAUUUAACCAACUGAAAUAUAGUUUGUAUGGUACAAGCUGGCACCAUUGCCUUCCACAACUUAAUCUGCCAGUUUGGAUAUGCUCUGGUGAAACUACCCUCAUGCUGACUCUUUCUUCCCAUAUCUAUAAAACCUUAACAAAACACACUUGUGUGAAAAUAUACUGGACACCAUAUUUGAACAGAAAACAUAGGAGAUAGUAGCAAACCACCUGAAAUCUUUGAUGCCAGAAGUGCUGGAUUUCCCCAGAGAAACAAACUCUGAAGAUGCUUGCCAUAGAUGCAAGCAAAAUAUCAGGAGAUAAUACCUCUAGAACAUGGCCAUAUAACCCGAAAAAACCUACAACAAUCCAAACUCACACAAUGUUUCAGACCCAAUAAAUAUUUACUGUUGGAUCUAUAUGGCUGCAUUUCCAUGCUAAUCUGGAUACAGACUGCUUUUAUUGAUCUGUACAGUUGCAUUUGAACACAUGAUCACAGAAAUUCCAUGAUCCAAAUAACUGUAUGCUGUAAAAGGGUAAACUACAUUGCAUUAUAGCUUCAGAUGGAUAUCACUAAAAGAUGCCUGAUGCAAAGAUGGCAUCUCAGGUCUACCUGUAAAAUGGAACAUUUGCACUUGAGUCUACCUGCAUUUAUGAAGAAGCUUUUCUUCCUGACAACCAAUGUUGUUCUUUCCUACAUUUCUGAGGGAUUAUAUGCUGGUGAUCUUGAAACUGAAGACGAUAUUCAAAGAGAGAAAGGUUGUUUUGCAAUUUUGUGGUGAUGUGCAUCUGCUGGAAGGAGCAGAAGAGAUGCUGAAUGAAAUAUUUGCAAUCAGACUCUGGAACAGAAGCAGCUGUUGUGGAAACACAUUCUGGGAGCAACUCCUCAAGCGCUGACAGCCGCCUGCUAUUUACAUGCUCUGUGGAUCUAUCAAAGCAGAAGAAAACUGCUCAAAACACAAAGAGAAGUGGGCUUCAUGAGAUAAAGAUGGUGGCAAGCGGAUCUAUGGAACAAUCGGAUACAUUUGACUGAAUGUAAGCCCCACUGAUGUACAUGCUUUUACUGAUAGGCAAUUUGGGUCAUACUUAUUACUUGUCUUUAGAAAAAAUAAAGAACAGAUGGUCACUAGAGUUUGAAGAACAAAAUAGCAAAAAAGAAUAUACAUUUGUCUUAUAUAAUAAUAAUAAAUAUUAUACUGGCAGCCUCCAAGUUACAAACAUCUGUCUUACAAAUUACUCAUAGUUAAGAACAGGAGUGAGAUAACAGGUGAUAGAAAUCUAACCCGAGGAAGGGAAAAUCACUCCUCCUAUCAUGGGGGGAAAAGUGUCUCCACUGAAGCUUUCUCACCAAUCCUUGUUUCCACAAGAAGUCAGAUUUUUCAAAAUUCAAUUAUCACAGGGACAGAAAGUAAGGUGAAAUCUUCUGAACAGGGGCACUGUCAGCAAAACAAACACCACAGGGGUAUUAACCCUUCCCUAUGCUAUACAAAGCUUUUAUACACACACACUUGAGUGGAGUGACACUUUUUAAAAAUACCUGUUUCAACUUACAUACAUACACAACUUAAGAACAAACCUACAGAACCCAUGUUGUUUGUAACUUGGGGACUGACUGUAUAUUAGUUCUAUGCAUUUUAGUGUCUUCAUUUACCCUUCUUAUGGCUGCCCUUGAAGAGAAUUAAGAAAUCGCAGCUAGAGCAAAAAUAAAGCAGCGAGAGCCCUUUGUAUAUGCUUCAUAGACCAUAACACAAUGUUCUUCUGCCAACUAUAUCAGCUUCCAAUUCAUUUCAAGUCUAAUUCAAGGCCGUAACUCUUAUUUGUUAAGUUCCUAAUGGUGGGGAGUCAAGAUGUGUGAAUACCUUCCGCUUCCAUGUGAAUCUCUCCCUAAUAUACAGUCUUUUUCAAAGGCCCU